RNAcentral lists this unclassified non-coding RNA (345 nucleotides) under soil metagenome. RNAcentral's name for it is "partial contains 5.8S ribosomal RNA, internal transcribed spacer 2, and large subunit ribosomal RNA". The stretch from base 1 to 120 matches the Rfam family "5.8S ribosomal RNA", at positions 35 to 154 of the family's 154-position model. The record is from RNAcentral.
GAUGAAGAACGCAGUGAAAUGCGAUACGUAAUGUGAAUUGCAGAAUUCAGUGAAUCAUCGAGUCUUUGAACGCACAUUGCGCCCCCUGGUAUUCCGGGGGGCAUGCCUGUCCGAGCGUCAUUGCUGCCCUCAAGCACGGCUUGUGUGUUGGGCCUCCGUCCUCCUCCCGGGGGACGGGCCCGAAAGGCAGCGGCGGCACCGCGUCCGGUCCUCGAGCGUAUGGGGCUUCGUCACCCGCUCUUGUAGGCCCGGCCGGAGCUUGCCGACACAUCAAUCUUUUUUCCAGGUUGACCUCGGAUCAGGUAGGGAUACCCGCUGAACUUAAGCAUAUCAAUAAGCGGAGGA